CAUUCCUGAGUUCUUCCUUGGUCCUCCCGGAUGUCAUCACUGAAUCUGUAAUUCAAAAGUUUGGGUAAAGAUGACAGGAACACUACAGAGAGCAGCACAGACCCUGUGAAGGCACCUGAAAGUGAACUCUAAAGAUCAAGACUAGGUUUCAGGAAGAGGAGAAUGGGUCAGAAAGUCCAGAUUCUGAAUAAUAAGAAGGAACACUCAUUAAGGGCUUGGGUUAUUUGAUAAUAACCACGUGAGGUUGCUUCAGCAGAGCUGAAAUAUUACAAAAUAUUAGAGAAACUCCUGGAGAGAUGGUUUAGCAGUCAAAGCUGCAUGAGGAAGGUAAAAGAACAUCCAGAUGUGUACUAGAUUAAAUGUGUUCCAAUACUCGAAUCACAGGAAAAAGAGUAUACUGAGAGAAGAAAGAAGUCUGACUUGUAUGUUGGUAUUCACCUUAGUUUAUGUGUUGGGAAGAGCAUACUUGAAAGACGACAGAAGUUUCAUGAUUAGCUUAAGCCAAUCUGAGACUGUACUGCUGCCAAAGGGACAUUCCUCCUCCUUCUUACAUCAGACCAGGCACCCACAUGACCAUACAAUAAACUGA
Molecule: long non-coding RNA, 589 nt
Filed under: Manacus vitellinus (golden-collared manakin)
Lineage: Eukaryota; Metazoa; Chordata; Aves; Passeriformes; Pipridae
Description: lncRNA (ENSMVIG00005000802.1)
Source: RNAcentral